GAGUUUGAUCAUGGCUCAGAACGUACGCUGGCGGCACGCCUAACACAUGCAAGUCGAACGAAGUAGCAAUACUUAGUGGCAGACGGGUGAGUAACAUGUAGGUAUCUGCCCUAUGGCCUGGAAUAACACGAGGAAACUUGUGCUAAUACCGGAUAAGUCUUUACAGAGAAAGCUUUAUGCACCAUUGGAUGAGCCUGCACUUGAUUAGUUUGUUGGUGGGGUAAUGGCCUACCAAGACUGUGAUCAAUAGCUGAUUUGAGAGGAUGAUCAGCCACAUUGGGACUGAGACACGGCCCAAACUCCUACGGGAGGCAGCAGUGGGGAAUCUUGCACAAUGGAGGAAACUCUGAUGCAGCGAUGCCGCGUGAGUGAAGAAGGCCCUUGGGUUGUAAAGCUCUUUCGUCGGGGAAGAAAAUGACUGUACCCGAAUAAGAAGGUCCGGCUAACUUCGUGCCAGCAGCCGCGGUAAUACGAAGGGACCUAGCGUAGUUCGGAAUUACUGGGCUUAAAGAGUUCGUAGGUGGUUGAAAAAGUUAGUGGUGAAAUCCCAGAGCUUAACUCUGGAACUGCCAUUAAAACUUUUCAGCUAGAGUAUGAUAGAGGAAAGCAGAAUUUCUAGUGUAGAGGUGAAAUUCGUAGAUAUUAGAAAGAAUACCAAUUGCGAAGGCAGCUUUCUGGAUCAUUACUGACACUGAGGAACGAAAGCAUGGGUAGCGAAGAGGAUUAGAUACCCUCGUAGUCCAUGCCGUAAACGAUGUGUGUUAGACGUUGGAAAUUUAUUUUCAGUGUCGCAGCGAAAGCGAUAAACACACCGCCUGGGGAGUACGACCGCAAGGUUAAAACUCAAAUGAAUUGACGGGGACCCGCACAAGUAGUGGAGCAUGUGGUUUAAUUCGAAGAUACGCGCAGUACCUUACCAACACUUGACAUGUUCGUCGCGACUCUAAGAGAUUAGAGUUUUCGGUUCGGCCGGACGAAACACAGGUGCUGCAUGGCUGUCGUCAGCUCGUGUCGUGAGAUGUUGGGUUAAGUCCCGCAACGAGCGCAACCCUCACUUUUAGUUGCCAUCAUUUAGUUGGGCACUCUGAAAGAACUGCCAGUGAUAAGCUGGAGGAAGGUGGGGAUGACGUCAAGUCCUCAUGGCCCUUACGUGUUGGGCUACACACGUGCUACAAUGGUAUCUACAACAGGAAGCAAGACUGCAAAGUUGAGCGAAUCCCUAAAAGAUACCUCAGUUCGGAUUGCACUCUGCAACUCGAGUGCAUGAAGCUGGAAUUACUAGUAAUCGUGGAUCAGCGUGCCACGGUGAAUGCGUUCCCGGGUCUUGUACACACCGCCCGUCACACCAUGGGAGUUGGUUCUACCUUAAGGCAAGGUUUCAAACCCUUGACCACGGUAUAGUCAGCGACUGGGGUGAAGUCGUAACAAGGUAACC
This 1435-nucleotide ribosomal RNA is filed under the name uncultured marine bacterium. RNAcentral's name for it is "bacterial SSU rRNA". It matches the Rfam family "Bacterial small subunit ribosomal RNA". The record is from RNAcentral.